RNAcentral lists this non-coding RNA (46 nucleotides) under Trichobilharzia regenti. The record is from RNAcentral. Lineage: Eukaryota; Metazoa; Platyhelminthes; Trematoda; Strigeidida; Schistosomatidae.
GUACUGCUGAAGAGUCCUGAACUAGGACGAAACAGCUGUUCAGUAC